UACGGAGGGUGCAAGCGUUAAUCGGAAUUACUGGGCGUAAAGCGUGCGCAGGCGGUUUCGUAAGUCUGUCGUGAAAUCCCCGGGCUUAACCUGGGAAUGGCGAUGGAGACUGCGAGGCUAGAGUUUGACAGAGGGGGGUAGAAUUCCACGUGUAGCAGUGAAAUGCGUAGAGAUGUGGAGGAACACCGAUGGCGAAGGCAGCCCCCUGGGUCAAAACUGACGCUCAUGCACGAAAGCGUGGGGAGCAAACAGG
RNAcentral lists this ribosomal RNA (253 nucleotides) under uncultured bacterium. RNAcentral's name for it is "partial 16S ribosomal RNA". It matches the Rfam family "Bacterial small subunit ribosomal RNA", at positions 524 to 776 of the family's 1533-position model. The record is from RNAcentral.